Molecule: ribosomal RNA, 461 nt
Filed under: uncultured bacterium
Lineage: Bacteria
Description: partial 16S ribosomal RNA
Rfam family: Bacterial small subunit ribosomal RNA
Source: RNAcentral
GACGAACGCUGGCGGCGUGCUUAACACAUGCAAGUCGAACGGAAAGGCCCUUCGGGGUACUCGAGUGGCGAACGGGUGAGUAACACGUGGGUGAUCUGCCCUGCACUUUGGGAUAAGCCUGGGAAACUGGGUCUAAUACCGAAUAGGACCACGCGCUUCAUGGUGUGUGGUGGAAAGCUUUUGCGGUGUGGGAUGGGCCCGCGGCCUAUCAGCUUGUUGGUGGGGUAAUGGCCUACCAAGGCGACGACGGGUAGCCGGCCUGAGAGGGUGACCGGCCACACUGGGACUGAGAUACGGCCCAGACUCCUACGGGAGGCAGCAGUGGUGAAUAUUGCACAAUGGGCGCAAGCCUGAUGCAGCGACGCCGCGUGAGGGAUGACGGCCUUCGGGUUGUAAACCUCUUUCACCAGGGACGAAGCGUAAGUGACGGUACCUGGAGAAGAAGCACCGGCCAACUACGU